CCUACGGGGGGCUGCAGUGGGGAAUAUUGGACAAUGGGGGCAACCCUGAUCCAGCCAUGCCGCGUGUGUGAAGAAGGCCCUCGGGUUGUAAAGCACUUUCAGUGAGGAAGAACGCCUGGUGGUUAAUACCCAUCAGGAAAGACAUCACUCACAGAAGAAGCACCGGCUAACUCCGUGCCAGCAGCCGCGGUAAUACGGAGGGUGCGAGCGUUAAUCGGAAUUACUGGGCGUAAAGCGCGCGUAGGUGGCUUGAUAAGCCGGUUGUGAAAGCCCCGGGCUCAACCUGGGAACGGCAUCCGGAACUGUCAAGCUAGAGUGCAGGAGAGGAAGGUAGAAUUCCCGGUGUAGCGGUGAAAUGCGUAGAGAUCGGGAGGAAUACCAGUGGCGAAGGCGGCCUUCUGGACUGACACUGACACUGAGGUGCGAAAGCGUGGGUAGCAAACAGGAUUAGCUACCCCAGUAGUC
RNAcentral lists this ribosomal RNA (465 nucleotides) under Vreelandella stevensii. RNAcentral's name for it is "partial 16S ribosomal RNA". It matches the Rfam family "Bacterial small subunit ribosomal RNA", at positions 338 to 795 of the family's 1533-position model. The record is from RNAcentral. Lineage: Bacteria; Pseudomonadati; Pseudomonadota; Gammaproteobacteria; Oceanospirillales; Halomonadaceae.